RNAcentral lists this long non-coding RNA (2031 nucleotides) under Salmo salar (Atlantic salmon). RNAcentral describes it as "lncRNA (ENSSSAG00000107711.1)". The record is from RNAcentral. Lineage: Eukaryota; Metazoa; Chordata; Actinopteri; Salmoniformes; Salmonidae.
UGAUGUCAUACAGAAAACGUCCCGGUAGACGGAACAGAUAUGACGGCUGGUUACACAAAGGAAAGGGGGUUGGGCUUGAAUGAAAGAGCGGGAAAAUUUAGGAACAGAGAAACAGCAGCUAUGCUAUCGUAAAUACAUUAUCUUAUGCAUUCUAAAUUACCGCCCAUUUGGAAAAGGAAAAUGCAAUAAAUAUUUACUCUGAGCUGCGCUUCGGUAGAUUGGUCGUAGAUGCUGGCCGGGUUGGCCAACAGAUCUCCCUGUUUUCGGAAGAAUGUCAAUGGUGGUCCAUUGGAUACGUGGUGGUAUCUUCGUCUGGUUGUUAGACUGGAUCCGUCGUCCGUCCUUUCCUAACCCACGUUAGCAGCGGCCGCUGCUAACUCAACGGCUAGGAAGUAGCACUUCUGUAGUGAAUAAGCUCAAAGUUCAUACCAGUUCAUACCAGAGCUCACGCCGAGGUUGGCUUAGUUCUGUACUUGACAUGUGUGUCCUUCUAACGUAGAGGCUGCAGACCUCCCGUACUGGAACCAACCUGGUUAUCUUUUCGUCAAAGGAUUAUAUAGUAGAGAGGGGGAGGGAGGUGUUUCAUCGUUUAUAACCGCUGUCUCUUCACAGGGUUGGGCCACUGAUCGAGCAGGGCACUUUCCUUAUGAAAACCCAAUUCUCUCGUUUGGAAGCUAAAAUUACAUUUCAUCUCCUAACAAACAUUUUCAAUAUCAAACAUUUCAAUUGCAUAACAAUUCCAUGUGACUCUGAUAACUAGAGGGUGGAUACUUUCCCAGACUCUCUAUAUUUAACACAGGCUAUUCACGUCCUUCAGUAGAUUCAGAGGGGAAGAGAGAAAGAUUUUCCCAAAAGAAAGCCCUGCCCAGUGUUCAAUAACAUGAAUACAUAGUCAGAUUGUGUCAUUAUACUGCGUACAUUGAGAUCUUUCAUCUGACUAACAACUGUGAACAUUUCACCAGUGCAAAAGGAUUCCACAGAUGAUCCCUUACUGUCAAUGGAAAAUCAAGGGGAGUUUGAAAUCACAACAGAAAGCACACUACAUGGAAUGAGCAAAGAGAGUGGCCUGACAACUUUAGGUCCAUAUCCAUCCCAGUCACCGGGUGACAGUGAAAAGAAGGGGGAAUUCAUCACACCUAUCCUUCCCAGCACAACAGAAGAAACAGAGAAGAUUUUCCCAAAAGAAAGCCCUGCCCAGUGUUCAAUAACAUGAAUACAUAGUCAGAUUGUGUCAUUAUAAUGAUUGGCCAACCAUCUUAGUGUCUGAGCACUUGUCAUCACUGCGUACAUUGAGAUCUUUCGUCUGACUAACAACUGUGAACAUUUCACCAGUGCAAAAGGACCUUUCCUAAAUCCACAAAGAUUGAGACUGUAGAUUUGUAAGCACGGAGUGUUUGUAUAAACUGUGAAGUGAAGUGUAUCGCUGGUGAGGAGCAGUCUACCCUUAACCUGACCAGCAUAACAUGAGGAGGGACUUCGCUUCGUCGCGCAAUGAUGAUGUCAUUUGUCCAAUGUCACUCGUCCAAUGCCACUUCUAUGACCAGAAUCGUUUCUUAUACUUAGUCCAAGUACCUAAAAGAUGAACAAUACAUAGGUAAAGCUAAGUUAAAUCAAGACAGUGUAUUAUAUAACGAUUAUUCGACUAAUAAAUUCUUCCAUCAGAUGUCAGUGUUAUUUUAGCGUUGACUUUGCAUAAACUAAUUUAUUUAUUAAAGAAGUUCAAAAUGUUACAUUGGACCUAAGCUAUAGUAUAGCUUCUCUCUGUUGCUUCAGUAUUCCAACACUUUUUACCUCCUCGUAAUUUGUUCAACCAUAUUCUAAUGUUUUCAGUGUAUCGCUGCUUAUCAAUUCCUCAACCAAACGUUAUUUAUUGAAAACAUGGAAAUAGAUUGUAUUUUGUUCCUUUUCUGUAUUAGUUACUACUUUUUCCAAUGAAAUGUGUUUCCAUCAUAUUUUUCAGAAUAUAUAGUAUUCAAACCUGUUUUCACUGGUGAAAUUUUGGCAGUCUAAAGUUCUCCCUUUGUAUUUAAC